UCAGCGGGUAUCCCUAUUUGAUCCGAGGCCAUGAUUUUCAAAAUUCAUUGGCGACUUUGAAAAUUGUCUCCCAACACAUUUGUUGCGUUUCGGACAAUAACAACGUGCCCAUUUAUUUCGAUGAGCCCUUGAUGGGCAACAUCAACACAAGAACAAAGUUCUUAGAUAUAAACGGCGCUCGAACAAAUAUACCCCAAAGAAUACUAAGGGGUGCAAUGUGCGUUCAAAGAUUCGAUGAUUCACUAAAUUCUGCAAUUCACAUUACUUAUCGCAUUUCGCUGCGUUCUUCAUCGAUGCCAGAACCA
This 305-nucleotide unclassified non-coding RNA is filed under the name uncultured fungus. Its description in RNAcentral is "partial contains 5.8S ribosomal RNA and internal transcribed spacer 2". Lineage: Eukaryota; Fungi. The record is from RNAcentral.